This 258-nucleotide ribosomal RNA is filed under the name uncultured bacterium. RNAcentral's name for it is "partial 16S ribosomal RNA". It matches the Rfam family "Bacterial small subunit ribosomal RNA", at positions 32 to 271 of the family's 1533-position model. The record is from RNAcentral.
AAUCAACGCUGGCGGCGUGCCUAACACAUGCAAGUCGAACGCGAAAGCCCCGCAAGGGUAAGUAGAGUGGCAAACGGGUGAGUAACGCGUGGGUGACCUGCCUUCGAGCGGGGGAGUAACGUUCCGAAAGGGACGCUAAUACCGCAUAACAUCCUGCUUUUUAAGUAGGUGGAGAUCAAAGACUGGGGAGUCGCAAGACCUAGCACUCGAAGAGGGGCCCGCGUCCGAUUAGCUAGUUGGUGGGGUAACGGCCACCAA